Non-coding RNA from Danio rerio (zebrafish), 1441 nucleotides. NCBI's taxonomy places the organism in Eukaryota, Metazoa, Chordata, Actinopteri, Cypriniformes, Danionidae. The record is from RefSeq and is a predicted model, not a curated record.
CAAAGGAGACAUCCAAAACAUGGAGUGUUGGUAAUCCUCCAGGAACGUGGUUGAGAAACACUGGACUAAAAGACUCAAAACUAUUACCUCAAGAAGUAUUUUAAUAAAAAGGUGUGCUUUUUUAAGCUAAAAUCUAAAAUAAUAACUAAAUCUGCAAAAACUGCAUUGUAAAACCUGAGAACAGUGAACAUUACUAAAUGAAAUAAGUUAGUUUAACUUAAUAAUUUAAAUAAGUUACUUUGACCUUAUGAAAGAGUUUCAGAGACUCAUAAACUGAUAAUAUUAUGUAGAACUCAAAUGAGUUAUGAAUGAGUUAAUCACAUUUUGUGUGUUACCUUAAAUGCUAGAAGCAAUACCAAGCCAGCUGAGUAGCUAGUUCUUUGGACUUAAUUUGUUCUUUUUACUGAACUUGAUUUGAUAACUGAACUUAAAAUGUUUAAGUAACUUAUUCUCUAAACAUUUGAUGAUAUCAACACAAAUAGAUGUUUAUAACUAUUUUUUUGUUUUACAAGUUUACAGUACUCCAAGUUUAGUUCUCUUACAGUACUAAACCAUUUUGUUUCGAAACUUAAGUGGUUUGCCGCAAUCAGUUUCCUCAGUUUAAGUUAACUUAUCGGGUAUUGCAGUGUACAUACUAAAUUUAGAAAAGUAAUUCAAGCAGUUGUUUAAAAUGAAAAUUUUUACAUUUAAAUUAUUUUAAAUCAAGAAAAUAGAAACAGUUUGCAAGUUCUAAGUAUGUUCUGGAUAUGUUCCGGUUUAUUUCUGGUUUUGUUCUGGAUUUGUUUGCAUUUAGUUAUUGUUAUGUUCUGGGUUUAGUUCUGGCAAGAUAUUAAUAAAUCAAUCGCCUAACUGACACAUUCAGUGUGUUAACUUACAACCGAUAUCCCUAAUGUUCAUAUAUUUUUUAUAAGACAUUCCAGCCUUUGUUUACAUGAAUUGCCGCUAAGACUUGUUAUAACAUAAUGUUAUGCGUUUUUCAUCGCGAAGCCCACUGACCGGAAGUUCUGUGCGCGCCCUUUUGUCGCCUGAAGAGAGCGCGCGUAAGUCUUCCGCGAAUCCUAUUACGCUUCUAGUAACCAUUUUAAUAUCAUGUAUAUCCCGCUCUUUAUUUCUCAUUCACUCGUGUUUUUAUCACGUGUAUACUUAGCAUUAGGCUAUAAACAUGGUGCUAAAUACCACCUGUAAAUACAGUAAUAUAUAAAUAUUUCAACACAAACAAACGGCACAGCUCGAGGAUUAACGUUGCCUUCUAGUGAACAAAACCAUGGCUACCCAAACACAAGAAGAACAACACGACGGCAGAUCACGGUUAUUGACUCAGUAAUUGCUCUUCAUUUCCUAUUUCUGCACUUGGAGCGGAAACAUUUCCCAGUAGUUCAGAAAAUACGCAGACGAUUAAGUGUGACGUAAAAGUGUGAAACGCACCCUUUCCUUCAUGCGU